This 393-nucleotide ribosomal RNA is filed under the name uncultured Chloroflexota bacterium. RNAcentral's name for it is "bacterial SSU rRNA". It matches the Rfam family "Bacterial small subunit ribosomal RNA", at positions 930 to 1339 of the family's 1533-position model. Lineage: Bacteria; Bacillati; Chloroflexota. The record is from RNAcentral.
UAGCGAGCGUGUGUUUAAUUCGAUGCUACNCGAAGAACUUACCCAGGUUUGACAUACAGGUAGUAGGGAAACGAAAGUGNGACCGACCCGCAAGGGAGCCUGAACAGGUGCUGCAUGGCUGUCGUCAGCUCGUGUCGUGAGAUGUCCGGUUAAGUCCGGUAACGAGCGCAACCCUCGUCGCGUGUUACAAGUGUCACGCGAGACUGCUGGUAUAAAGCCGGAGGAAGGUGGGGAUGACGUCAAGUCAGCAUGGCCUUUAUGCCUGGGGCUACACACACGCUACAAUGGCCGGUACAAUAGGUUGCAAAGCCGCGAGGUGGAGCCAAUCCUCAAAGCCGGUCUCAGUUCAGAUUGCAGGCUGCAACUCGCCUGCAUGAAGUCUGAGUUGCUAUA